GAUGAACGCUAGCGGCAGGCUUAAUACAUGCAAGUCGAACGGGAUUCGGGGUAGCAAUACUUUGAUGAGAGUGGCGCACGGGUGCGUAACGCGUAUGCAACCUACCUUUAACAGGGGAAUAGCCCCGAGAAAUCGGGAUUAAUACUCCGUAACAUUGCGGUGUGGCAUCACACUGCACUUAAAGCUGAGGCGGUUAAAGAUGGGCAUGCGUGACAUUAGCUAGUUGGUGAGGUAACGGCUCACCAAGGCAACGAUGUCUAGGGGUCCUGAGAGGGUUAUCCCCCACACUGGUACUGAGACACGGACCAGACUCCUACGGGAGGCAGCAGUAAGGAAUAUUGGUCAAUGGGCGCAAGCCUGAACCAGCCAUGCCGCGUGCAGGAAGACGGCCCUAUGGGUUGUAAACUGCUUUUGUCAGGGAAUAAACCCCCGCUCGUGAGCGGGGCUGAAGGUACCUGAAGAAUAAGCAUCGGCUAA
RNAcentral lists this ribosomal RNA (477 nucleotides) under uncultured bacterium. RNAcentral's name for it is "bacterial SSU rRNA". It matches the Rfam family "Bacterial small subunit ribosomal RNA", at positions 28 to 500 of the family's 1533-position model. The record is from RNAcentral.